Triticum aestivum (bread wheat) is the source of this 93-nucleotide non-coding RNA. NCBI's taxonomy places the organism in Eukaryota, Viridiplantae, Streptophyta, Magnoliopsida, Poales, Poaceae. The record is from Rfam.
UGGAUCGUGAGGAAGUAUUGAUGCAUAAUCUAACACUUGAUCCGAGGGCAGCUUGAGCAGCCCAUAUGAUGUCAUCUUUGCAACAGAAUCCAU